GCUCAUGUAGCUCAGUGGUAGAGCACUUCCUUGGUAAGGAAGAGGUCACCGGUUCAAUCCCGGUCAUGAGCUCCA
This 75-nucleotide transfer RNA is filed under the name Candidatus Cloacimonadota bacterium. RNAcentral's name for it is "tRNA-Thr". It matches the Rfam family "tRNA". From Rfam's summary of the family: Transfer RNA (tRNA) molecules are approximately 80 nucleotides in length. Their secondary structure includes four short double-helical elements and three loops (D, anti-codon, and T loops). The record is from RNAcentral. Lineage: Bacteria; Pseudomonadati; Candidatus Cloacimonadota.